Acinonyx jubatus (cheetah) is the source of this 11778-nucleotide long non-coding RNA. RefSeq lists it as uncharacterized. Lineage: Eukaryota; Metazoa; Chordata; Mammalia; Carnivora; Felidae. The transcript is spliced from 2 exons. The record is from RefSeq and is a predicted model, not a curated record.
UUACUGUGUACCUAGAGAAAAAGUGUUGGUAGUGCCAGGGUAUUAAAUAAGGCUCUCAUUUCUUCUCAGUAAAGGUUAUUUUCUUAAAUUGGCAAUUAACUCUUUUUUCCCAUUUCUCUAAGACUGUGCUUAUUCAUUAAGACAAAUUUCAUUUCAUGAAAAAUGCAGAUAACUUCUUUAAUUAGUUUUUAAGUGUUCAUGGUAUAGACCUUAUAUAAUACAUAUAACCUUGCAAAUAGAAGAUAUGCUUUUAUCAGUCUUAUUUCAUAAAGUUUAACAAUUUUGCAAAAGGAAAUACACAGAGUAACUCCAUCUGAUUUUGAUUCUCUUAUAAUAAGUGGACGAGUAGUUUAUAAAUCUUCUAAACUUGUUUCUGAAGCUGUUUUUAGAGAAAUAGAUAAUAGAUUCUAUAUUUCUUGAAUAUUUUCAUUAUUAUGAAGGUAACUUCUGAGGUUAAUUUUUAUGGGAUAAAUAUGGGUUUAUGAUAGAAGUACAGUAUAUUUUGGUCUCUUUUUACUAACUUUCUUUUUGCUUUUUGAAAACUAAAAUAUAUUCUACAGCAAAAUAAGCUUUCUCUUUUCCUCAGGGCACUACAAUUUAAUAGAAAGGAAAGCUCAUUUAGAACUUUAUUGGCUCCAGUUCCUUCCAGCUACAGCAUAAUCAGAGACCUUGAAUUUUCAUGUCAUAGCAGUGGUGUUCUUGGGAUAUGUGUGAAUUGAGUUUGGUAUAUCCUAUCUGGGCCUCCAUAACUGGUGACCAGAGCUCCCCAUUAUUAAACUCACGAUAUCACUCUGCCAUUCUCAUAGCAAGCUGUUGGAUCUCUAAGACAUGGACUCAAGCUUUUCCUGCCUCUCAGAACAUGUCCAGUUAACUUUUGUCACUAAAGUCUUCCUUCUCUUGGAACUCACAUACCUUCUUCAAUAAACCCUGUUAGAAGAGGAUGAGAAGGGGCGUUGCUGUGACCUCUAUCAGUGCCUUGACCUGUAUCAGUGCCCACAGGAGAAGGCAGCAGGAAUUGCCAGCCUCUAGAGACUGCCCGACUUCUUUUGUCUUUCAUGUGCAUCAGAGAAUUGGUGCGACGACUUGCUCAUCUCAACACUUUGAAUACUUUAUGGUUCUUUAAACACCUCUUGUGUGCAUUAUCUUAUUUCACCCUGGACACAACUCUGUGAAGUCAACAGCUACUAGUAUUGGUUCCAAUUGUACAUACAAGGAAAUUAUCUCAGAGGAGGUGGUACGUGGUAGGAGCUCAUGGAACAGCAGAACUGGCAUAGAAGGCAGGCCCAUCUAUGUGUAGGAAGGUCCAAGUGUUCAAUGAUGGCAUUGUCUCUUGUCUUCUGUCUGCAGUACUGUGCAUGCGUAGGACAGGGAGGAAAAGCCCUUCCUGGGAUACUCUUGUGGCUGACUUGUGGCAGUAGCUUUUGCCGGUGCUUUAGGCUAUGAGUCCAUAUACAUGGUACAACAUCUAUAGUGCGUGGAGGACACAAAACUCUCUUAGCCUUGCCAUGCCUGGGAGCUUGCCACAAAUGCAGAAUCUCAGGCUCCACCCCAGACGUAAGGAAUCCCAGUCUGCACUUUAAUAAGGUCUGCAGGUGACUUUUCUGUACACUAUGUUUGGGAAGCACCAGCUCUAGAAUACAGAACAUAAGAGAUCCUACAGUUGAAAAUAAGGUGAGAGGUACGUGUGCGUGUGUAUGUCUGUGAAGAUUUCAUUUUGUGUAUGUUUGUAAACGUGAGAGUAUGUUCAUCUCAUUUUACUUUUGUAAAAAUAACAUUUAAUGAGAUAUAAUUCACAGACCAUACAUUCACUAGUUUAAGUGUUUUUAGUGUAUAUUCACAGACUUGCACAACCAUCAACACAGCCAAUUUCAGAACAUUUUCAUCACCCUGAGAAGCGACUCCAUGCCCACACUGGCCAUUUCCUCCCAAAGCCCUACCCCUCUUCCUGAAAUCCCCUGACAGUCAAUCACUUGUGUACCUCUGCCUUUAUGGAUUGGAUUUGCCUAUUCUGUACAUUUCAUAUCUGAAAGAAAUAAUGCAAUACAUGGUCCUUUGUGUCUGGAUUCUCUCCCUCAGCAUGAUGUUUUCAGGCUCCAUCCAUGUUGUAGCAUGUAUCAAUGCUUCUUUCUGUUGCUGCUUUUUACCUGCCUUCAAUGUAUGCUGGACAGGAGUAAGGAGAUGCCGGGUUUUUUGUUGGCCUUGAGGAACUUGAGACAGUCUUGUCAUUCGUUGUAUAGUUAGGAGUCAAUAGAGUGAUUUCUUAGUGUGAUGAAAGCUUUUCUAAUGUCUCAAGCUCUAGGAUUGGAGAACUGUGUGACAGUGAAAUACUAGGAGUGUUGUUACAUGCUUUCAGUUGAAGAAAUAAAAUAUUAGUGUUUUCUAGUUUCCUUUCAAGUGAAGUUUUAAUUCCUUCAUUUUCAACCACUUCUCCCACAAAAACAGUGGUAUGCCAUCCAUGCCCUAUUGAAAACUGUGCCUGUCUUUACAAAAUACCCAGCUGAUGUUGGUGAAAAUUAAAAUGACAAAAUAUUGUGUUCAGAUAAAUAACAACAAUGGCUAUAUUUUUGGCAAGAAACCACAUGAUUGUCCCUCCCCCAAGCAGUCUGUUCCCUUCAGUUCUGAAUGUUUAGUAAUUUGAAGCGUCCCAGAGGAAGACAGCAUUUUUUCCUUUGUUGUCUGUGCUCAGCUCUGAAAAUUUUAUUUGUCAAAUAAAGGACAGUUUGUUUUACUUCAGAUAUUUAAAUACCUUUUAAGGAAUCUGUCAUGCAGAGUGCCUCACCGAUUGGGGAAAAUCUUUGCUUGGCUCUUGGACUUUCCAGUGAUAACUUUGUAAUGCACAUAAAUAUGCAUAAUGUGUGGUGACCAGAAAGGAAUGGCAGGAAGAUGUUUUUAUACCUAUAUAGAAGUCAUUUUAGCAUUUCACUACUAUAUUGGUUGUUGAUCAAACAUUUGGAAAUGCUUAUUUUCACGUUUUUGCAAUGUGAAAAGCUUUCCUUUUCCCUCUUCUUGUCUCCCCUACUUAGCUCAUCUUAAUGCCACUAAAUAACCAGCGCCUUAUUUGGCUGGCUGCCUGGUAAACCAGAUGACUGAAAACAAUACUGGAGAUCUUGUGUGGUCACUUUCUAAAGGGUUUUGUGCUUCUUUUAUAUUCUUGUCUCCCUCUCCUUCUUUGGUGGGUAGACUCAAUUAUUUGGCUUGUGUUUGAGAAGGGCCUGGGCAAAAUGCCACUUAUCUAUCUUUUCAGCUUUUUGGGGACAUGCUUUCUUAACAGAUUUCUUUGGGAUAUAAGGUUCUUUCUUUAACCUGACUAAUCUUUUUCUAGGUGCUGCAAAAUACUGAUCGUUUUUAGCAAAUUAUAAACAUUAUGUUCUUCAGUGUCACAGAGUUGCUGUGGUAUAUAUGUACAUUUGUGUGUAUAAUGCUGAGGUUUCUGAGAAGAGGAAAAAAAAAGAUUAAAAAUCCUUGCCCGCUUUAGACUUGGAAAUUAACAUGACUGGGUUAGCCAGAUCCCUCUGUUGGAGGAAAUAGGAAAGAUUGGAUUGAAUCCUAUGUCAAGGAAAUUGACUUGGCUGGAUUUCAGGUAGCAGGAUGGGCUGGCCCACUAAAGAUCUGUGUCAGUAUCCUUAGUGGCCCUGGAAUUGGGACAGGAUAACUAUUUUUUUGUAAUAGGUCAAACUCUGGGGGAAAAAAGGGCAGGGAAACAACAUUCAGUGAGAACCUCCUGUGUGUUAGGGGGUGUUGCUUAAAUACUAUGCACAUUCUUGCAUAACAACCUUGUGAGCUAUGUAUUGUUGUUAUUCUUAUCAGGACCACUGCUUUAUAAAUGGGGAGACUGAGACCUGGAAAAGUUAAUUAAGUUUGCUAAAGUGAAAUACCUGGGAAGUGGGUGUCAGGGGCUGCUGUCCCCCAAGCUGGUGAAGUUUAUCUUUAAUCUGUCUCUGCUCAGACUCUUUAAAGGGUGCAGUUGUUGGAAAAUGAUGUAUAUUAUGGCUGAUGGAAAAACAGAGGACAAAAAUACAAGAUCCCUUAAGAGACUCAAAUUUCUCUGUACCCAGAAUGCUAUAAUAGUAGCAUUUCCAGGUACAGGGGUAAUCUUCCCUGACCUCCGGGGACCUACAGGUGUGCCAAGCUGCCAGUGACACCCCCUGAUUAGGGAGAGUGCCCCAUCAGAUUCAUCUGGGAAUGCCCUUCUCUUCCUGCUGCAAGAGUCCCCUGGUAUUGUGGCCCUUCCCAACCACUCUGGACACUUUGACUGUGUGGUUCCUGCUCACAGGUGCUAAGUGACUAGUAGUGACACAUUGCCUACUGUUGCUUGCACAAUUUGGAGAAUCAGUGGUUGACAUCCUGAUGAGCACCCUCCAAGCUGCCUGAAGUCUGUUUUGCAGAAAGUGUUUUCUGAUACCUUUGGCAGUUCUCAAAUAAACCCAUGUUAUUUACCAGCUAUAUUUUCUAUGAAUAAUUGGGCCUUUAAAAAAAACCUGUGUAAUAUUUCCAUCUGUGGCAUUUCCCCUUAUAACACCUUAUUUUUUAUUCCCCCUAUGAAUUACAUGCUCAUUGUGAAAAACUUAGAACAAAAGUUAAAUGAAGAAAAGCCACUACCCCAUUAUGAAGAGAUCCUUGUUAAAAUAAUUCUGUAUUUCUUUUCUAUAGAAAAAUAGUAACGCUAAUCUCAUAGAACUCAGUCAAAUAGGUGUAAUCAUUUUAAUCAGUUGACAAUUUAGUAGUUUAAAAAAUAGUUUUCCAGAGUUUUGCUUUCUCUACUGCAUGGUAGGUUGUAGUCCCGUGAGUAAGAAAGUUAAAGCUUGUGCUCAGUGGCAGGACCCCAGUGAGAACCCGGAUAGUGAGGUGAUCAGCAUUCUGCCUUCUUCAAGUCUUCCUAAUUAGUGCAGCCUUUGUUUGGUAGUGGUGAGCUACCUACCCAUCAUUUUAUUUAUCCCACACCAGCCUUAAUAUUUGGAGGAAAAUUUAUUUACUAAGCUCUUGUGUAUAUACCUGUAUGUACGACACAAUUGAUGAAGCACUUAGGUUCCUAGAAAAAAUAUAAACUAGGAAGCUUUAAGGUUUUUAAAAAAAGAAAUAACGAUACUGGCAAAGGGGCUUGAUGGCUUUCUGUGAUAGACAAAAUGAUUCAGUGACCUGUUUCUCAGGAAGCUGGCAGCUACAUUUUCUCCAUUGUGGGGGAAACAUACAUGGGUACAACUUCAACUGUAGCUAAUUGGUUGAAGUGAUACUUUUUAAAAAUUGGAAUCAACAAGGAGAAAUCUGCCAAAACGUAUUCUAUAUGCACUCAACUAAUAAAAGGAGCUGUUGCAUUUUUUUGUGGCAGUGAUGUUUUUAUUUUUAUUUUUGCAAUGUAGUGGAGGAGGGAGGAAUAGAGGCUGAGUAUCUGAGAGUUGGAGCAGAGUGAAUAGGUAGAUUAUGAAUAUAUAUGAAAUCGUGAAGGGGAAUAAAAUAUUGUUACUGCUUUAUCAAAAAAUUUUUUCUUAUUUAAAAAAAAGAAGGUAUAAACUUUGAGCAUCAUGUGCUGAUAUAAUAAUUUCCUUGCAUUGCCUCUUUAUUAAUAGAGACUGCUUGUUUUAGUAGAUUAUUGCAUCUUUAAUUUUUGUUCUAAAGAGACUAGUAAAAAUAGUUUAUGUACUUAUUUUUAACUUUAUUUUGUUUUCUGAGUAAUACAGUCAGCAGAGUGUAAAAGGUUCGAUACUGUUGUAUCUACUCUAGUCCGCCUGGCUAUUCUUCUCCAGAGGCAACCAGUGUUGCCUUAUCAUGUGUUUCUAUCCAAAGAUCAUCCAUGCGUAUGUUGGCAAAUGUGUAUAUGUUCUCUUCCUCUCCCUUCCUUCCUUUCUUACACAAAUGCUGGCAUGCAAAAUAUGCCUCUGUGUCUGUUUUCACUUCAUGUACCUUGUAGAUUAUUUUGUAUCAGAACAUUAAGAGUUCCCUCAUUGUUUCAUGGUUGGGUAGUAAUCUGUUGUAUUAUUAUGCCAUAAUUUACUUAACCACCUUGCUAUUGGCAGAUGUUUAAGGUGUUUUCAGUUUACUCUUUUGAACAAUGCUGCAGUUUAUAAAAUUGUGCACAUAGGUAGAUUUGUUUAGAAAGAAGUAGAAACCAAUAGCUGAAAAAUGAUUUUUUAGUUUUUAAAAAAUGUUAUUUAUUUUGAUAAGGAGAGAGAGAGAGAGACAGACAGACAGAGAGAGACAGAGAAAGAAAAUCCCAAGCAGGCUCCACACACAGUGCUGAGCCUGAUGUAGGUCUCGAUCUCACGACCCUGAGGUCAUAUUUGAACUGAAAUCAAGAGUUGGAUGCUUAACCAACUGAGCCACCCAGGUGCCCCAGCUGAAAGAUGGUCCCUGGAGAUUAGAGAGCCAUCAUUGUUUCAUAAACUGGUGCUCUUUGGAACCCUCAUUAGUAAGGCAGAUGUUAUUUGAGGAGAAGGAAACCAGGAUUUCAUAGGCAAAUAAGCUUGGGGAAAUGCGGUAUUCCCUAUUUUCUCUUGGAGCUCCAGAAAAGAAUUAGCACAUUAAAGACUUGAAGUACUUACGUGGUUUUAACAAUAGCAACAGAAAAUUAUCAAAGAUAGUUUUUCAGACUUAUUUGAGCAUCACAUAUUUCAAGAUUCUUAUUAACAUCUGUCAAGACUGUUUCAAGGAAAACCCAGUUUGGGGAAUGUUGACCUGUGUGAUUCCUCCCUGACUCCCAGAUUCCAUAGAUAACAAAAACUAGCUAACCACUUGUUUUUGUUUUGUUUUGUUUUGUUUUUGUUUUUUUUCAGCUGAUGAAUUGGCUUGCUGCUUGAGUCCUGUUUCUUGACACCUGUAGGCUUGCUCACCUCUCUGAUCCUAAUGCUUAAUGUGAGAAAUGCCUUGUUUGGAAAGUUGUGUGUCAGGACCUUCUUGUGUUCACGGGCUUGAAGACAGGUGGGAUCCGAUGUACUGGGUGGACCCGGUGUGAACUAAAGCCUUGCAGUAGUGGACUAAAACCUGCAGUAUGUGGGGACAAAAGCAAUAAGUUCAUUUUGGCUGGGGUUUGGGACUUAGUAGAGGGUAGAGGAGACUGGCGAGGCUUCAUAAAAUAAGCAGCAGUCCAGCAGAAGUUGUGGUUGGGAGUCCUAGUGUGGAAUAUGGGGUGGAAAGCUGUACAUACUGUUUUGCUUCAGCGCACUGGUUCUCAACACCCCUCCCUCGCCCUGGCAUUGUUUGCAGACAUUUUUGGUUAUCGUGACUGGGAAGGUACUAUUGGCAUCUAAUAGAGGUAAGGGAUACUGCUAAACAUUCUACAAUUAUACAGGACAAAAUACUUCAACAGAGAAGUAUGCAGUCAAUAGCACCCCAAUGAUAAAUCUGCUCUAGUGGGAUCCUACCAGAGUUGGGGUCUUAGUAAGCUGUCAUUAUUUCUUUGUCCAGGCAUCUGAAGUGGCAUAAAUCGACCAUUUGCCAUUUUGGAAUGCUGCUGCUCCCCAGAUGCUAGAAUUCAACAAUGUAGAUUCAGGACUCCUUUGUCACAGUUUUGUAAUUUAAAAAGCUCUGAAAAUAUAAAGUUUCUUCCCAAAGAAGAAACUUCCCAAAGUUUUUUAUCAAUAAAACGUUACCUGCAUUGACUUCCCUGAUGAAGUUUCCGAGGAGUCUUGAUUUACUUGAUUUUGUGUGAAUGUGUUUGAUUGUAAGGUAUUGGCCCAAACUGGGUUGGAGUUUUAUGUAGAAUGGUUGGUGCAGUGUAUUAUCUUUCUAAAAUGUGAGAAGUUCAGUAUUACAAGACACUUUGAGCCCCAAGAUUUCUGAUAAGGGAUUGUGGAUUUAUAUAUUGAACUAAAUUUUUGCCUAAGGAAUUAAGUAGUUUUAGUGACAUUUAUUGAUUUUUUAAAUUCCAAAAAUGACACAGGAUUGUUGUGAAGAAUUUGAGUACAAAAGUUAAUAAUAUUAACACCAUCCGUGUAGUGCUUGCUGUGUGUCCAGGGUGUUCUCAGUACUUUAUGUGUGUUAACUAAGUCUGUCUUCAGAAUUCUGGUGUUGUUUACAAGACAUUUUGGUACAGUGACUUGCCCAAGAUCCCAUAUCUAGUAUAUAGCAGACCUGGGCUUUAAACUCUGGCACAAAGAGGAAAAUCAUCCAUCACCUCAACAGCUAGAGAUGUUAACUGCUUAGACAGUUAAAAGAGUAGUUGAGUGAACCAUAAUUUAUUUAAAUAGUUUUCUGUUGUUGGGCAUUUAGACUGUUUUCAGUUUUUCACAAUAGGACAUUGACGUACACGUUCAUGUAUAAAUAUUUGUCCACAUCUUUGAUAUUGUUAAAAUAGAAUUGCUUAGAGUGUGUAACUUCUUACAGAUUCUUCAUAUAUGUCACAAAACAUGUCAGUUUUAUACUCCCACCAGCAUUCACCCUCAUCAGCACUGAAUGUUAACAUUUUUUCCCCUUCUGAUUCUGAGAUAUAGUAUCUUGGGCUUUUCUGAGAGGAUGAGACAGAUGGCUGGACAAAUUUUAAUUUGUCAGGAUACUAGGGUUAAGAAAAAAAUCUCAGGAAAAAAGCACCCAAAUUAAGUAGUUGAAACAACUGAUUUUUAAAAUUUCAAAUUUCAAAAAAUUAAAUUUUGUAGGCAGUUUCUUUUCACAUUGAUCCAUGAAGUUAAAUUGUGGCUCCAUUUUAAGUUAUCGUGAAGAGUUGACAGAAAUAAGAAUAUCCAGCAUUCGGGGAUGUUCUGGUCAGAGUCUUAUUGGUAUAUGAUCAUUAUUUGACUAAAAUGGCCAUUGCAUAAGUAUUUGUGGAGCAUUUACUAUGUGCCUUACACUGCAACCCUAUCAGGUAGGUACUAUCAGUUGGGUGGGGAAGACUGGGGAGGACCCCACGGGAGGGGUGGUUAGGGAGUAGGGAUGAUUUUAGUUUUGGAUUGGUUAGAUUGGAGGCUGAAAGAUGGAGAUGCCGAGAAGGCCAUUAUAUCCAAAAUAGUUGGGAGUUAUUAGCUUGGAAGCUCACCAGAUUUGCCCUGGUAGUUUAUCAGAAAAUUAUUUUCUUUAAUUUUUUUACAGUGUGUGGCUUAUGAGAACACUUUAUAGCUUUUAAAGAUGUUGACAAAUUUCAUUUGAUAGCUGUGGUUUUCAUAUAUCAAACAUGUAAAAAUUUGUGUCUUCUUGCCCUUUUAAAGACUUGCUCUAAUGCCUAUAGGUAACCUUUAUAACUUGGUUUUACUUUUAUUUCCACAAUCAACAAUGUGUGAAUGGGUUGAUUAUUGCCAUUUUUCUUCAUUGUAGGUAAUUUUACAGCGAAUGCCUUUGUGCAUAAAACACUUCCAGCAUCUGGGAUUUAUUUGGAGGUAGAUCGGAACUAGAAUUAUUGGAUCUUAAUUACUGGAUCUUAAUAUCUGUUGCAAAAUUACCUUCUUGUGCUGAUUUUUGUUCCACAAAUAUGUGCAAGACUUACUCAGCCAGUGGGUUGAAUGUUAUCUUUGAUGAUGUUUGUGACACCAUCAUUCACUUCCUACCUUUUAGAAGAUAUUGUGUAAUCACAAUCAUGUGAUAGCUUUGUAUACUGUGUCUUUAUUUCACAUUGAUCUGUGUGAAUACUGGAUUCACACAGAGUAUUGCCAAGAAUUUUCACAAAUCUAAUCAGAUAAGAAUGUGGGGCUCGUGAUCAUUGUUCUUUAACUCUGUCUGAAGUAUUGAUGUCAGGAUGAUAUUUAAAGUCACUCAAGAUUCAGUCUGCCAGAGUCUGGCUGAUGACAGCAGAAAUACCUAGAAUUCUGUAAAAGAUGACUGUUUUUCAGUGUGUAGUUUGCCUGUCUCUAUGUGAUAAGUGGUAGGGAAGGAAAGCCAUCAUGUGCAUAACUCAGGACAGUUAUCUGGUUAUUUUGGGCAAAAUUAAAAUGACUUUUUGACUGGAAUUUUCCAGUAAUUGUCUCAGUUUUCUACUUUGUUUUCCAUUUUUUCCCAGUAAAAAUUUUACUCUCCAACCUUUAAUUUCUAUCAUUUUUCCUCUGGUUUUCUACAGCCAGUGUCCCCAUUUUGUGUAGUUUUCUCAAAGUUACUACUGAUUCCUGCCUCCAGAGUUAUGGUCUCUGGUGUUUUUUGAUUAUUCUCAAAUGAAAUUUGGGGAAAACUGGAAUCAAACUAUGUCAUUUUGGAAAUUUCUGCAUGAACUGACCUUUUCCUUGUGAGCUUUUAAUGAAUUUGUAUUAUGAGUUGUUAUGAAAGGUUAUUAUGUAGGGAUUACUUAUUAGACUGGUUACUCACCAGAGGGACACAUUAAAAAAAAAAAAAAAAGAAGUUGGCCCACCCAUCUGGUUCUUCCCAUAUCCUCCCAAACCAUCUUCAACCGGGAGAAUUAUAAUAUGCAAAUAAGCCAUCUGCAAUGUCCAAAUGGGAGGAUAGCUUCCAUUUCUUUGUCAGAGAUCUGCCAGGGCUGGGUAGUAAUUUCUGUAGCUUUCUUAAGACGAAGAGGACCUGUUAAAAAGUACCUUGAUUAAAAAUGUACCUUAUUAUAAUAAUAGGGACAUUUGGAAUUGGGUGCCCAGGCCACUUUCUGAGUUAAAAAAAAAUCUCCUGUUGCCAGAUUCAGCCUCUAACUGUGGGAUGUCUGUGUUCCAUCAUAGGUGUCCUCAACUUUUUAAAAGAAUCCCUCUACAGAGAAAAAAAAAAAAGUGAUACCAAUUGAAGAGUUCAGAUUGAAUAAUACUUUUGGGCCUGUCUUCCUUAAGAAAGUAGGUACCCACAGUGUUCUCAUUUUCAAAAAAGCUAUAUGUCAUGUCAGUGUUGAGUAGUGUGUGAGGAGCUUGUGGGAAUCUGGGUGGAGUGGUCUGGUAAGUAGAUUGGUUGGAAAUAGUCCAAACCUCCAUGUGUAGUUCAAACCUCAGAUGUGAAUGAGAUUUUAUAUAGGCUAGCCUUUAGACUGAGAACAAGAGACCUUCCAAUUUUAGGGGAUUAACUGAAAAGUUGCCAAUGAAGGAGAAGUGAGCAAGGAAGUAGGAAAUCCAGAAGAGAUUGAUGUUUUGGAAACUAAGACAUGACAGUGUUUGAAGAAGAAUGUAAUGUGUUUUUUGUUUGUUUUUCAUUUUUUGGGGGGAAAUAAUUUCAAACUUACAGGAAAAAAAAAGUACAAAGAAUACCUGUGUACUCUUUUCCCAGGUUCACCUGCUGUUAAAAUGUACCCCUAUUAGCUUUAUCAUUUCCUACACCUCCCCCCACACCCACAACUCCACCCCCCCCCCGCCAACACACAGUUUUUCUGAGCCAUUUUGAGGAUGUCUUACAUACAUACAUCAUGGUCUUUCACCCCUAAAUACCUAAAUAUUCAUUUCCUAAGAAUUGGGAUAGUCUCUUAGAUAACCACAAUGCAAUGAUCAACUUUAGUAAAUUUAAUAUUUAUAUUCUAACUUGGCUGGUUAACUCAGUGAUGUCUUUUUAUAAUAUUUUUCCCUCCAAUGCAGGAUAUAGUCUAGUUUCAGGUAUUUUCUUUUAUUUCAUUCAUUAGCUUUCUUUAAUAUGAAACAGUUGCACAGCCUUGUUUUGUCUUUUGUGACAUUGAAACUGUUUAAGAAUACAUCCUCCCCCCUUAAAAAAAAAAAAAGAAUGGUCCUGAGUUUGGGCUUGUUUGACGUUUCCUCAUGAUUGGAUUCUGGUUAUAUGAUUUUAGUUGGACACAACAUCCUUCUUGGGAUAUCACAUAUGGCAGCAAAUAAUUCCCAUCAGUAGUGGUAACUUUGACCACUGUCAAGGUGUUGUCCUGUUUCUUGACUAUACAAUUACUGUUUUCUUCUUCCUCCCUUGCAACUAGUGAGCAAAUUGUGAGGACACACU